UGCUGUUAUUGCAAAAUGGGUCGUCUACUCUUCUUCCUCCAUUGUUAGCCAAAAACACCCAAAUCGCCAUUACCUUUUUCCUUCGAGAAAUCACCGACAAUAUGCACCGUCUUUCGUCAUUCGAACUUCAUUUUUCUCUCUGUAACUUUAAGGUUUUACGACGUCGUGGUUUCCAAAGAAGGGUUUUGUUCUGCGCCGACUUAUGUUUCCGAUGGAGAAAAUUCGGCAGCUUUGUACUGGAUAGUUACUAAUCCUACUCUAGCACCUGUUCAUCUUGAAGGAAGAAUACAUUGGGAGCAUAUCUGAUUAUUCCAGGAAUGGGCUCACAUUUCGUCAUGUACACUGCCAAGAUCCAAGAUAAUUCAAGAUCUGCUCUCCCUCCUGGUGAUGUUGAAAGGUAACAACGCCUAACCUGAUGUAUUAUAUACUUCUCCAUCGACGCUUCUGAGUUGAAAUUUCAUAACACCAGCUGAUGGUGUAGAUAGCUUGUAUUUGUGGUUGAUGGAGGUGUUUCUUUGACAAAUGGAUCAGACACCAGGCACAACUUAAUGGUGGAUUCAUAUGCUUAUUUGCCUCCAAACUUUCAACAUUCGAUUGACAGUGCCGUGUCGGCUACACUUGUUGUUUUUGAACGAAGGUUUAUCCUACAUUCUUCUUUUGUUUUACAACAAUACUGCUUUUGUUUUGUGUGAUUAUUCGUUUUCGUGUGUUAUCAUUUGAUAAUGAGUUUUGCAUUGAAAAUACAUUGUUUGUUUUGAGGAGGUGAGAUCUCUGUAUUGAUUAGUACUGAAAUUUUUUGGAAGUUUUCAUAAUUUUUUGUUUUUGUGAAUUUUCCAUACAUGAAUCAUACUAAGUUUAUUUGAUUAAGGAACUAGUUGGAAGUGUUGUGAGCACCUUAUACAUGAUCUUAGUGCACAUAUUUGAAGUUAGGCAAUAUCGAAGAUGUAACUAUUUAAGUUUUGUGUUACAAAUUUUUGUUUGAGAUAAUACUUAAAAGGAUUCAGGUUUUGCGAUUUGGAUAAAGAAUGGAAUUAAUCUUUAAUUGUGGUUUUUGUCAUAGGCAAACGCUAAGGGCUAAUAUAUUUGAAGUUAGUCUGUAUCGGGCUGUAAUUAUUGAAGUUUUGUGCGUAGUAUUAGUGUUAGAAAUUUAUGUUUGAGAUAAUAUUUGUAAGAAAGUCUAGAGAUUUGGAUGAAGAAUGUAAUUAAUGUUUAAUUGUGAUUAUUGUUAUAAGCAAAUGUUAUGGGUUAUAUAUGAUCUUAGUGGAUAUAUUUAAGUUAGUCCAUAUUAAAGCUAUAACUAUUAAAGUUUUGUGCGUAGUACUUAUGUUAGAAAUUUAUGUUUACAAUAAUAAUUUUAAGGAUUCAAGUCUAGAGAUGUUGAUGAAGAAUGCUAUCAAUGUUUAAUUAUGGUUAUUGUUAGGAGUAAAAACUAAAGGUUAUACUAUUUGAAGUCCCAAAGAUAUUGUUAGAUUAUUCUGAGGAGCAAUUUGAUUCAUAUAUUUAAACUUAGUCAAUAUCAGAGCUGUAAUUAUUGAAGUUUUGUGCGUAGUAUUAAUGUUAGAAAUUUACUUUUGAGAAAAUAUUUAAAAGGAUCAAGUCUAGAGAUUUAGAUAAAGAAUGUAAAUGAUGUUUAAUUGUGGUUAUUGUUAUAAGCAAAAGCUAUGGGUUAAUUAUGAUGUUAGUGGAUUUUUUUAAGUUGGUCAAUAUUAAAGCUGUAUCUAUUGAAGUUUUGUCCGUAGUAUUUAUGUUAGAAAUUUAAUUUUGAGAAAAUAUUUUUAAGGAUUCACGUCUAGAGAUAUUGAUGAAAAAUGCUAUUAAUAUUUAAUUAUGGUUAUUGUUAGAAGCAAAAACUAAAGGUUAUAAUAUUUGAAGUCUCAAAGAUAUUGUUGGAUUAUUCUGAGGAGCGAUUUGAUUCAUAUUAUCAUUUUGAGGAUUUUGAUUUUAGGAAUGUAGAUUCAAUCAAGAAAAAAUUUUGGAAUUGAUGUUUGUUGUUUAAUAUUGAGAAAUAUUGUUAUUUAAGGUAUCUGAUUUGAAGUGUCUUAUGGGAGUUUAUAUACUGUGAUGUUUGAAUUUUAUAAUUAUUAAUUAUUGGUUAGUAUUAAGAAUGUACCGAGUUUCUUUCGCAGGUUUGAAGAGUAAAUAUAAUUUAAAUCUGGAGUGCAACUCGUAGACUUGAGGUUUUGUUAAGUACAAGCAUGUUAUUUCAUUUAUAUUUUGUAAGGAUGACAUAAGAUUAUGAUUUUGGGAUAUAAUAACUCAAGGUUUUUCAAUUAAUGCACUAGUUGAAAGUAUUGUGAGUACCUUAUACACGAUCUUAGUGGACAUAUUUGAAGUUAUGCAAUAUCGAAGUUGUAACUUAUUAAGUUUUGUGUGUAGUUUUGAUGUUCGAAAUUUUUGUUGGACAUAAUACUUAUAAGGAUUUAGGUUUUGAGUUUUGGAUGAAGAAUGGAAUUAAUGUUCAAUUGUGGUUAUGGUCAUAAGCAAACGCUAAGGGCUAUACGUGAUCUUAGUGGAUAUAUUUAAAGAUAGUCAAUAUCAGAGCUGUAAUUAUUGAAGUUUUGGGCAUAGUAUUAAUGUUAGAAGUUUAUGUUUGAGAAAAUAUCGAAAAGGAUCAAGUUUAGAGAUUUGGAUGAAGAAUGUAAUAAAUGUUUAAUUGUGGUGAUAUUAAUGUUAUGAGAUAAUAUUUUUGAAGAUUGAAGUCUAGAGAUGUUGAUGAAGAAUGAUAUUAAUGUUUAAUUGAGGUUUAUUGUUAUGAGAAAAAACUAAAGGUCAUACUAUUUGAAGUCUUAAAGAUAUUGUUGGAUUAUUCUGAGGAGUAAUUUGAUUUAUAUUAUCAUUCUGAGGAUUUUGAUUUUAGGAAUGUAGAUUUAAUCAAGAAUAAAUUUGGGAAUUGAUGUUUGUUGGUUAAUAUUGAAAAUUAUUGUUGAAGUUUUCUGAUUUGAAGUGUCUUAUGGGAGUUUAUAUACGGUGAUGUUUGAAUUUUAUAAUUAUUAACCGGUGUUAUCGGUUAGUAUUAAGAAUGUACGGAGUUUCUUUCGCAGGCUUGAAGAGUAAAUGUAAUUUAAACGUGGAAUGCAACUCGUAGACUUGAGGUUUUGUUAAGUACAAGUAUGUUAUUUCGGGAUUGAAAUAAAA
Amaranthus tricolor (Joseph's coat) is the source of this 3135-nucleotide RNA transcript. It is a transcript of the gene named (S)-ureidoglycine aminohydrolase-like, with no coding region annotated. Lineage: Eukaryota; Viridiplantae; Streptophyta; Magnoliopsida; Caryophyllales; Amaranthaceae. The transcript has 6 exons. The record is from RefSeq and is a predicted model, not a curated record.